GAUGAACGCUAGCGGCAGGCCUAACACAUGCAAGUCGAGGGGUAUAGGAAGCUUGCUUCCUUGAGACCGGCGCACGGGUGCGUAACGCGUAUGCAAUCUACCUUAUACAGGGGAAUAGCCCAGAGAAAUUUGGAUUAAUGCCCCAUAGUAUUAUAGAGUGGCCUCACUUUAUAAUUAAAGUUCCAACGGUAUAAGAUGAGCAUGCGUCCCAUUAGUUAGUUGGUAAGGUAACGGCUUACCAAGACGAUGAUGGGUAGGGUCCUGAGAGGGAGAUCCCCCACACUGGUACUGAGACACGGACCAGACUCCUACGGGAGGCAGCAGUGAGGAAUAUUGGUCAAUGGGGCGCAAGCCCUGAACCAGGCCAUGCCGCGUGCAGGAAUAAGGUCUUAUGGAUUGUAAACUGCUUUUAUACAGGAAGAAACCCUCCACGUGUGGGAUAUUGACGGUACUGUAUGAAUAAGGAUCGGCUAACUCCGUGCCAGCAGCCGCGGU
This 495-nucleotide ribosomal RNA is filed under the name uncultured bacterium. Its description in RNAcentral is "bacterial SSU rRNA". It matches the Rfam family "Bacterial small subunit ribosomal RNA", at positions 28 to 521 of the family's 1533-position model. The record is from RNAcentral.